Long non-coding RNA from Manis javanica (Malayan pangolin), 221 nucleotides. RefSeq lists it as uncharacterized. The record is from RefSeq and is a predicted model, not a curated record. Lineage: Eukaryota; Metazoa; Chordata; Mammalia; Pholidota; Manidae.
GUGAUGAGGAUGGAAUGUGAAGCAGCAGCCUCACGUGUACACCCAAAUGAACAGACUCGCUGGCAGCCAGCACCUGGGCUGCGUGAGCUCUUUCCAGCUCUCCUUCAACCUCAAAUGGACACCAGGAAUGUUCAAUAUCCUGUCAACAGUUUCAAGGAGAUGAGACCCUCCACCACCACCACCACCACCACCACAUGGACCUGAUGGCUCACUGAAACACA